CCUCUUCGGCCCAACUCCUAUGUAUAAAUAUAUCCUUCAUUUUUUUUUCCACAAACAAAAACACACACCUCUCAUCCUUCAUGUUGGUGCUAGCUCAGCUGCAGCACCUCCGCCGGCGCCACCCUUCCCAGUAAGUCUACUCUCAAAAUAUAUUGUAUAUGCAUUCUUCUUUUCAAUCACUCAUCUCUCUUAUUGUUGUUUGCUUAUUUCUUUUAGUCAUAGUGGUAACAUGAUGUGAUUCUUUCUUGUUGCACUAUUGGGUUCUUUUUUGCAUGUUUAGGUAAAACAGAGUGCUGAUGUAAAUUAUUGCAAGAAAUAUUAUAAUCUACACGUUUCAUUAUACGUUCUACUUCUACAUAUACACAAAAACACACACUGUUACGUAUGAUUUUUCUAAAAGAAAUACCAAAAUUUAAGCUUUCUACCACUGAUUAUCUGCACUUGUUUUCCCAUGGUAUUUGACAUAUAUGUAUGUCAAUUCUUAUUACAUGGUAUCAGUUUAUAUGUUUUGGGUGAUGCGAGAUUUCAAACUCAAAAUGGCACUUCGUCAGCUGCAUUUAUAUAUUGGAAUUCCAAAUUCAUAAUGACUGAGUAUAAUCACAUUUCAUUGCUCAAUAUAUGAUGUAUCACAAUUUACACUGUAUCUGUAUAGUCCAAAAGGGAAGGAAAAAGGUAUCUUUAUUUGAAUAAACAGAAAAUUGUGCAGAUAUUGCACUUGAUCUUCAUUCUGGAUACAGCUAGAAGUUCCUUGCCAUGCCAUACACAACCCUUGUCUUCGCACCCGCCUUAGACUGCGUUUUACAUGAAGCGCCAUAGCAUAAAAAUUGCAAUAAUCUUGUUGUUCCCUAUAACUCAUCCAUGCCUAGAUUCACACUCUGUAAAUGAAGAAAAAUCGAAUCCUGCAUGUAAAGAAGAAGUAAAUGCUUAAAAUUUGCACCUAGUGAGUGAAGUAAGUAUAUUGGUGGAUUAUGAACAUAGCAGCUGCUGCAGGAAGAGUAGAAUUACCAGUAGGGAAAAGCCUCCUCCAAUGUUAGUUUGUAAGAACUGCUUCUACUUUGACGGGCUUAAGCCUCAUCACGCCUCUGCGCAAAUGCUGAAAGGCUAGUACAAAGAGGCCAAAAAAGUAUAACAUGAAAAUAUGUAGCUUCUCUACGCUUUCAAGAAUGAAAGAUGAACUGAUUGCUCUCCAUGCCGAUAUCUGAGAAGCCUUGCACCCUGAAGAGAAGAGCAGGGUUAGUCAUACUUUGAUAACCAUGGCAGGCUGAUUGAUUUCAGGAAGCAUAGUGUAACCAAAUGCAUCGAGUCAAUAAGCAAAAAUGACUUUGUUCGUUGUCUUUUUAUUUGGAUUGAUUGCCAUGACAUUUCAACAGAGACAAUAGACCAUAGGCGAAUAUCGAACUUUUGCUCUUAAAUGAAAUGACCAGAUACCCACAUCAUUUCUAGGCCUUGGUCAUGGGAAUUACAUUCGAGCCUCAUCAUAUAUACACCCCACAGCCUCACUGUGAGCUUGCCUAAGCUAUACACUGUUUUCUCUCACUAAAUCCUAGGUUAACAAACCGUAAUAUGGUUAUAUGGUUUGCGUAGUCUCUAGAAGAUUUAGACCAGUAAUACAGAAUGAUGAAGAAUUUGCAUAAGGAUAGCACCCACCACUGCUUUUAGUAGACAGAUUUGUCCAUUGGUAUGAACUUGUCGUACUUUGUGAUGCCUUGAUCAACUCUAGAAGAGCUUUAUUCACCUGCAUGUUUGAGCGAGGAAAUACCAUAUAAGCGUCAAGUUUGAGAAUUCUGGUCAAUGUCAUACUCAAUUGCAAACGAAUUCUGAUUAUAUUGCAGAUGAUUUUCAUGUAUGUUUCUCUGUUUUCACUGUUUACAACACUGAAAUUUCAUUUCAAGGUUCCUUUCACUGUUUACAACACUGAAAUGACCUUCACUACUGUUCAAGCCAUUAAUUAGCCUGUUUCAGAAUCACACUUCUCUGGAUAUGUUUACUGAACGUUAAUUACAGGAAUACUAACAAAAUUCAAUACACGGACAUCAGCCCUUGUCCGGUAACGUUGCAGGAUAUGUUUAAGCAUCCAUUGCAACUAGUUUCAGAACUCAAUUUUAAAAAAAAUGGUGGGAUCUUGAAGCAUUAAGUAAUCUCCUCUAUUUGUUUCAUUUAUUCUGUAAAAUAUGUUAAACCAAUUUGUUCUUCCAAGAAAAAUACCAAAUAUUUUUCCAUUGUAACAUUCUUCACCAUUUUCUAAUGUAUUCUCAAGACAAUUCAAAAAGAAAGUGUGCUUGAAUGAGAAAAUGGAUGAAUUGUGUAUCAUUGUAACACAUUUCCCUCUAACCUUUCUAGGAACUUAAUUUCUGAAUAGUGCAUAUUAUCAGAGCCUUAUUGACCAACGAGGGUUAUGUUAGAUAAAAUUACCCGAUAAUUUGUAACAUGAGAACAUCUAAUCUUGCUUCCAUAAGUUAGCCGUUCCAACUAUUAUUUCAUUAUUUGUCAAACUAACGUAUAGAAUAAUACCUCCUCAGUUCUCUCAUGGCUUACUAGAUGUCCACCAUUAAGUUCAACCAUUCUUGCAGAUGGAUAUAAUCUCUCUGCAAGUCGUUUUGCAUGGCACAGCUGAGCAAUAACGUCAUGUCUACACAGGAAGAGAACCAAUAAAGGAAAAAAAAAUACAAGUCGUCUUUGAAGGCACAGUGCAUAUACGAGCAAUUAGAAAAACCUAGUAAGUCUUUGAUAGGCUACCUGCCAUGAAUUACUGAUAUGGGAAAUCCAGCCAUACGGAUAGAUUCUAUCUCUUUUCUUGACAAUUUAUGGGUCCAACACGCGUUAAUCUGACCGUCAAAUCCAUACUUCGACUGCAUACCUGUUGAUGAUAUGCCUUUUACGUAUUCCUGCAGAGCAGAGUUAUAGCAUCAUGUUAUACUUUCAAAUCAUAUAGACACUACUUGAUUUUAAAAAUAUAGCCUGCCUCAGAAAAAUUAUUCGACACUGAGGGUCUAUGAAUGUAGAAUAAAAUACUACAAAUCAUAGUAGUGUUUUAAUGAGAAUCAUAUACAGUGAUAACAAUUAAAAUUGAAGGAACCAAUCUUUACUACAUUAUCCGAAUAGCUAUGAGUCUAUUCAAGGAAAAACAUACAGUAUCAGGUUUCUCAUCUCAAGUUCACAAUUCUUAAAAUUCCUUACUUGGUAUAAAAUUGCUCUUCUAGUCUUUAGUCCAAUGUACUCUUCAAGAUAUUCCUGCAUAAAAGAGAAUGAAUUUUCAAUCAAUUCUCAGCAAUCUCAAUGAGCUGAUGCGUUCUGAAUUCGAAGCAAAACAGGCAGAUGCAGAAAGCAGAAAUUAAAGGACUGUCACGCUUACUAUCAUGACCUAAAAUAAUUAUUUUACCUGUGAGUAGUGGGUAUCUAAAUCAACGGCUGCUCUCUGUUCAGGUGUUUUUGCCCUCAGAAAACGCAGAGCAAUUGACAGAGUUUUACGGUCAAACUGAAAAGAAUAAGAGAUGUAACUAGGUUCAGGGUGGCAAGGCACAUAACAGAAACUCCCAUAUAGGUUAAAAUUCGGAAAGACAUAGUAUUAAACAAGGAUUUUGCUAUGAUUUCCAAUUUAGCCAAAAACUCUCAAAGCAAACUGAGUUGGCUAUGCUAACUUUUUUGACCUAAUUUUGCGUCAGGUGAAAUGGCUUAUUAAGCUAAGAUAAUGUAAUCAACAACCCGAUCAGCUCCAUUUGUUGAGUUGCUGACAAAUUUUCACAUUUGAAGGUGCUUUCACAGUCAAGAAAAGAGAGGCAGAAGAAAGACAAACGAGAGAAAGCUAUUAUACUUCAAACAGAGAGUGUUUGAACUUCAAGACCUGUACACUAAUGUCGCCUUUCAGUUUUCAAACAUUUCUAUAAGGACCAUAUAUUAUC
This 3899-nucleotide long non-coding RNA is filed under the name Salvia miltiorrhiza (redroot sage). RNAcentral's name for it is "long non-coding RNA (SMIL_LNC008832)". The record is from RNAcentral. Lineage: Eukaryota; Viridiplantae; Streptophyta; Magnoliopsida; Lamiales; Lamiaceae.